CUUGGGAGCUCCUUUUAUUAGAGUUACUCCAGAUACUUUUAUGAUGAUGCUUGAUGUUGAUGGUUAUAAUUAUGGUUUAUGGUAUUUCCUCUUGGAGGGAGUGCCAUUCGGGUAAUAACUCGGGAUUAUUAUUAAAACUUGCUUUCUACUAGUAAUAAAUACCUGACCAACUAAAAGCAAUCUCUUUAAGCUUAACCCCACAUACAACUAGCCCACUUUAGUCAAACGAGACAUUUGCUAAGUACAUUGAUGUGUACUCACCCUUGCUUAAAAACACCAAAUCCCAGGUUGUCUCCAUUGCAACAAGUGCUUAGGAGAAGAUGAAGACAACAUUGAGGACUUUCAGGAGUUUCAGGACUUCGACGAGUUUUAGAAUAGAUUAGUGACAAAUUCCCA
RNAcentral lists this long non-coding RNA (396 nucleotides) under Zea mays. RNAcentral describes it as "drought responsive lncRNA". The record is from RNAcentral. Lineage: Eukaryota; Viridiplantae; Streptophyta; Magnoliopsida; Poales; Poaceae.